Cavia porcellus (domestic guinea pig) is the source of this 64-nucleotide transfer RNA. It matches the Rfam family "tRNA". Rfam says of the family: Transfer RNA (tRNA) molecules are approximately 80 nucleotides in length. Their secondary structure includes four short double-helical elements and three loops (D, anti-codon, and T loops). NCBI's taxonomy places the organism in Eukaryota, Metazoa, Chordata, Mammalia, Rodentia, Caviidae. The record is from Rfam.
GGGGAUUUAGCUCAGUGGCAUAAGCACUUGCCUGGCAAGCAGGGGAUCGUGAGUUCAAUCCCUG